UCCCUGGUGGCUCAGCAGUAGAGAAUCUGCCUGCAAGGCAGGAGACCUGGGUUCAACCCCUGGGUUGGGAA
Molecule: transfer RNA, 71 nt
Filed under: Ovis aries (sheep)
Lineage: Eukaryota; Metazoa; Chordata; Mammalia; Artiodactyla; Bovidae
Rfam family: tRNA
About the family: Transfer RNA (tRNA) molecules are approximately 80 nucleotides in length. Their secondary structure includes four short double-helical elements and three loops (D, anti-codon, and T loops). Further hydrogen bonds mediate the characteristic L-shaped molecular structure. tRNAs have two regions of fundamental functional importance: the anti-codon, which is responsible for specific mRNA codon recognition, and the 3' end, to which the tRNAs corresponding amino acid is attached (by aminoacyl-tRNA synthetases). tRNAs cope with the degeneracy of the genetic code in two manners: having more than one tRNA (with a specific anti-codon) for a particular amino acid; and 'wobble' base-pairing, i.e. permitting non-standard base-pairing at the 3rd anti-codon position.
Source: Rfam by way of RNAcentral